GAUGAACGCUGACAGAAUGCUUAACACAUGCAAGUCUACUUGAUCCUUCGGGUGAUGGUGGCGGACGGGUGAGUAACGCGUAAAGAACUUGCCUUGCAGUCUGGGACAACGUCUGGAAACGGACGCUAAUACCGGAUAUUAUGAUUGAAUCGCAUGAUUUAAUUAUGAAAGCUAUAUGCGCUGCGAGAGAGCUUUGCGUCCCAUUAGUUAGUUGGUGAGGUAACGGCUCACCAAGACGAUGAUGGGUAGCCGGCCCGAGAGACUGAUCGGCCACAAUGGAACUGAGACACGGUCCAU
This 297-nucleotide ribosomal RNA is filed under the name uncultured bacterium. RNAcentral's name for it is "partial 16S ribosomal RNA". It matches the Rfam family "Bacterial small subunit ribosomal RNA", at positions 28 to 334 of the family's 1533-position model. The record is from RNAcentral.